RNAcentral lists this microRNA precursor (124 nucleotides) under Marmota monax (woodchuck). The record is from RNAcentral. Lineage: Eukaryota; Metazoa; Chordata; Mammalia; Rodentia; Sciuridae.
UAGGGUGACCAACUCUCCUGGUUUGCCUAACACCGUCUAGUUUUAGCACUAAAGUCUGGCAUCCGGGGGGACCCCCCCACCCGAGUCCUGGACAAGCCAGGACAGUUGGUCACUCUGUUCUUUA